ACAGCUUUGCCCUCGGACACAUCAUACAGAAACCACUUCAGAGCUCAGAGCUUACCAGGUACCAGCAAUCCUACUGCCUCCACCCCGCAGACCCCACAGCACCAGCCUUCCAUACCCCAGAGGCUCUGCAGGUGAGAUCAGCCGUGCCAACAUCACUGCAACUUGUGGGGAAAUCAGAGAUCACUCCUUAUCAGCAGCACUGGCAGCCCCUGACGCUGUGCUGAAAAUGGCAUCUCCACAGGCUGCUCAGUCACUCUGCUGCAGGCAGAUGCCUCUCGCUGUGUGGCAGCACCUCCAGCAGUUUGAGCUGGGCACGGGGAACACCAGCUGAUGUUUCUGAGUGGGGACAUGCAGGGCAGCACAUCCUCCAUCCCUGCCCUGCUUCUCCGCAGACGCGAGUCCCACAGGUGCUGUACCGCAAUGGCCGUAACUGGACGUUUCACUCAUACAACACUGACCAUCUCAAUUAACAGCUGCUCACAAAGGCACCAGCAGGCAUAAAGAAACCCGUAAGUCACCCCAGAGCUACUCUAGCAGUUGAAGUGGUGUUUUUUUUGUUUUUUUUUUUUUUCCCUCGCAGCUCACUAAGGAGACAGCCCAGGUUCACUUUGUGAUGCAAAUCAACAAGUUGCUCGGAAGAAAAAAAAAAAAAAAAGGGAGGAAAAAAGGCCUCCGGUGAAAUCGCAGCGCAGCUUCCUCCCUGCACAACAGUCACCGAGCCGCCAGCACCCAGCUCGGGUUCGCACUGUGCCCCCCAAACCCACCGCCCUCCUCCAGACCCCGCACAGCCCUCCCUGGCCUGCCCCUCCGCUCACCCCCGCGUGCCCCUGCAGCGCCGCUGACCU
This is a long non-coding RNA of Gallus gallus (chicken), 845 nucleotides long. RefSeq lists it as uncharacterized. The transcript is spliced from 3 exons. The record is from RefSeq and is a predicted model, not a curated record. Lineage: Eukaryota; Metazoa; Chordata; Aves; Galliformes; Phasianidae.